This 1079-nucleotide long non-coding RNA is filed under the name Apteryx haastii (Great spotted kiwi). RNAcentral's name for it is "lncRNA (ENSAHAG00000018194.1)". The record is from RNAcentral. Lineage: Eukaryota; Metazoa; Chordata; Aves; Apterygiformes; Apterygidae.
UGUGGGUGCUGCUUAAUGCCAUGUAGAUGCCCUGUGGGUGCUUGGUGCCGUGUCGAUGCCAUGUGGGUGCUGUUUGGUGCCCUGUGGGUGCUGCUCAUUGUCAUGUAGAUGCCGUGUGGGUGCUGUUUGGUGCCGUGUAGAUGCCGUGUGGGUGCUUGGUGCCAUGUAGAUGCCAUGAAGUGCUGUUUGGUGCCACGUGGGUGCUGCUCGGUGCCCUGUAGAUGCCAUGUGGGUGCUGUUUGGUGCCACACAGAUGCUGUAUGGGUGCCAUGUAGAUGCCAUGUGGGUACCAUGUGGGUGCUUGAUGCCAUGUAGAUGCCAUGAAGUGCUGUUUGGUGUCAUGUGGGUGCCAUGGGGGUGCUGUUUGGUGCCGUGUAGAUGCCAUGUGGGUGCUUGGUGCCGUGUGGGUGCCAUGUGGGUGCCGCUUAAUGCCAUGUGGUGCUUUUUGGUGCCAUGUGGGUGCUGUGUGGCACUGUAAUGCCAUGUAGAUGCCAUGUGGGUGCUGUUUGGUGCCCUGUGGGUGCUGCUCAUUGCCAUGUAGGUGCCCUGUGGGUGCUGUUUGGUGCCACGUAGAUGCUGUAUGGUGCCAUGUGGGUGCCAUGUGGGUGCUGCUCGGUGCCACGCAGAUGCCGUGUGGUGCUUUUGGGUGCCGUGCGGGUGCUAUGCAAUGCCAUGCAGAUGCCAUGGGGUGCCAUAUAGGUGCCAUAUGGGUGCCAUGCAGUGCCGUGCGGGUGCUGCUUGGUGCAGCCGUGCACAGGGGCCCUGCGGUGCACGCGUGCUGCCACCAAGGUCACCUCCUGGUCACACCAGCGCCACGCCAGCAGGACACGCUGCGUCCCGCCGGUCGGCGCCCCAUCACUGCACCGUGCCGCACGGGGCCGGGGUGCCCCCGACGGGUGCCAGCGCGGCACCCAGUGCACCCACGCGCCUGCGGAUGCGCAGUGUUUCGGGGUGCGGCGCCUGUGUGCGUGCGCAGGCGUGUGCACGUGUGUGCAAUAGGGAAUUGGGGGGCACCCUGAUUUUGGGGGUGCAAGGAGGGGGCUAUGCCCUGAUUUGGGGGGGCAGGUCGGGGGUGCACC